AACGAACGCUGGCGGCGUGGAUAAGACAUGCAAGUCGAACGGAACAUUAUGAGUAGCAAUACAAGUAAUGUUUAGUGGCGAACGGGUGCGUAACACGUGGAUACAUUCCGGGAAGCAGGGGAUAGCCCAGGGAAACUUGGAUUAAUACCGCAUGUGAUCGAAAGAUCAAAGACGGGGACCGCAAGGCCUGUCACUUCCCGAUUGGUCCGCGGCCUAUCAGCUAGUUGGCGGGGUAAAAGCCCACCAAGGCGACGACGGGUAGCUGGUCUGAGAGGACGACCAGCCACACUGGAACUGAGACACGGUCCAGACACCUACGGGUGGCAGCAGUCGAGAAUCUUUCACAAUGGGGGCAACCCUGAUGGAGCGACGCCGCGUGGAGGAUAAGGUCUUCGGAUUGUAAACUCCUGUCAUGCGUGAACAAGAUUGCCGGGCUAAUAACCUGUGCAAGUUGAUGGUAACGCAAGAGGAAGAGACGGCUAACUCUGUGCCAGCAGCCGCGGUAAU
RNAcentral lists this ribosomal RNA (507 nucleotides) under uncultured bacterium. RNAcentral describes it as "bacterial SSU rRNA". It matches the Rfam family "Bacterial small subunit ribosomal RNA", at positions 29 to 524 of the family's 1533-position model. The record is from RNAcentral.